Molecule: long non-coding RNA, 1074 nt
Filed under: Delphinapterus leucas (beluga whale)
Lineage: Eukaryota; Metazoa; Chordata; Mammalia; Artiodactyla; Monodontidae
Description: lncRNA (ENSDLEG00000004259.1)
Source: RNAcentral
AAUAUUUGCUUAUCUGAUUCUGAGGUUUAUUUCCCUUUGCUUACAGGUGAUAAUACAGUUGGUCUGAAUGAUUUGAUGGAUGCUCUCAGUUAUAUCAAGGGUGAGUUGCGAGCUAUGAUGAAAAGAUGUCAUAAAUAGCGUCUUAAUAUUUUGCAGUUGGUGGAGAAAAAUAUAUCCCCUUAUAAAUGUUUAAAUUCUUUCAUAUAUGUUCCAGUUUUGUGGAUGCUACUGAAAUUGGGUAAACAGUAAUUAAUCUGUACUUAUAUAUCAAUACCCAUAAUAUUCUCUGACGUUUUCCCCAAAAGGAUUCUUCAACAUAGUUACAGAUCUCAAGAGCCACAGAACUAUUCAUUUUCCCCAUUAACCCCAAUCCUGGAAAUUUAUCCUGUGGAAAUAACUUAAUUGAAUAAAAGAAAAAAAUCUCUUCCUAAAGACCUUCAGGGAAAUUUGAAACAGCCUAAAUAUCUAACAGUAUGGGAAUACCAAAUAAGUCAUGGAGAGGUGAUUGAUAUCCAGGACUUAGACAACUUUCUAGCAAAUGAGGGGGUUGAGCUCACAGAAGAAGAAAUGAAGAAACUAAUACCUCAUUUGACAUCCAAUGGAAUGGUGCCUCUACAGAAGUUGAUGAAAAUCACAAAUGAUACUAAAGGACUGACCCAAAAACAUAUCUGCUAAAAAAAAAGAAAAGAAAAGCACAAGGACUCAGAAUCCAUGCCCAUUUGCUUGUCAAGCUCUAUGAGUGGAAAUAAUAAACAACAGGCUGGCCCCAAACUUAAGUCCUAACCCCAAAGCACCUUCCAUCUAUCCAGUGCACCAAGCUGUGGAACCCAACUUAUGUCCUGGGACCAUCAGCCCUACAGAUAAGUAUCAUACCAGUCCACCAAUUCUAAACUACCUAGGAUAUGCCCACCAGUAAAUUAAGUGAAAUCAGCCCUUCAUCCCAUUUGGUUCUGAAUAGAUGAGUAUUGAUGUAGCUAAAUUAUAAUACAUACCUACUCCCCAGGAUAGUUUAGUUCCUUAUGUAUUCCACCCUAUUAAUUUUGAUGAUUUUUGUCACCACUGUUCACUCACAGA